Long non-coding RNA from Phacochoerus africanus (Common warthog), 776 nucleotides. RefSeq lists it as uncharacterized. NCBI's taxonomy places the organism in Eukaryota, Metazoa, Chordata, Mammalia, Artiodactyla, Suidae. The transcript has 3 exons. The record is from RefSeq and is a predicted model, not a curated record.
CGAGCGCUUUCCACUCAGGUUCCGUUUCCAGCCUGAGUUAAGUUUCGGCCCGCUUUAGGGAAAUCGUCUACGACGCGUAACUGCACGCGAAAGGGUGUUCUGCGACGGCUUCCCAGCCCUGGCCGGGAGCCCUAACCACACCGGACACCUUCUGGACUUCAGGGGGUCCACAGCCAGAUGGCCUUUAUUCCGCGACAGCGGGCUGCAUGGAGUGUAUUCAUCAGGCGCCAGAGCCACCGGCCCACUUCAAGGCAUGCGGCAGAAACUACUACGGUGGCAACUGAGUAAAGACAUUGGAGGGUGCUGGCCUCCCCCAGACUGUUACAGUGGUCAAUUCCUCCCAAACUCCGGAGGUGCUGCUCAGGCCAGGGCGAGUAAGGGAGCUGGGGAGACCCUUGGGACAGGGACGAGAUGGAGGGGCCUCUCAGCUGGGCUAGGCAACUCUUGCUGUUGUUGACCAACCCACAACUUUGGACUGUGUAAAGAGGACCUAAGGUGCUCCUCCUGUUGGGACCAGCUCAGGCGUCUCAUCUGUCUCCCAAACCUAAAAAGGGAGGAAAUGGCACUAGAGUGGACCCCGAUAUCAAAGCAGUUGCUGGCCUUGGAGAUCUUGCAACAGCAGUCUGUGCGAAUACACCAGCACUAGGUGGUAUGACCCUACAUCACCCCCCGAAGUGGACUACAUCUUGCUCCAACCUCACAACUCCCAGAAUUCCCCAAGUAAAAGGGAGAGAGGAGUUUAAAAGUUGGGAAAUAAAGAAGCACCUUCACACACA